This is a long non-coding RNA of Lytechinus pictus (painted urchin), 236 nucleotides long. RefSeq lists it as uncharacterized. Lineage: Eukaryota; Metazoa; Echinodermata; Echinoidea; Temnopleuroida; Toxopneustidae. The transcript is spliced from 2 exons. The record is from RefSeq and is a predicted model, not a curated record.
AGAUCUACUAGGCCUAUCCGGCAAUCUAUAGCUUUUCUUCAAUAUCUAUACUUAUUAUUUUAUAUACCAAUCUGAAUUGAGCUGCACAAGUUUUGAAUAACGAUUUAUUUUGCAACUCUCUUGUAAAGGAUAAAAAGACAAGAUGGGUAACCGUUCAUCUAAGAAACACGCUAAGAUGACAGAUGACGAUGAGGGCGCUAUACCGUCAAACGAUUCGGACUCCACAGGAAACAAAG